UACGUAGGGGCCUAGCGUUGUCCGGAUUUAUUGGGCGUAAAGAGCUCGUAGGCGGUUCGGCACGUCGGAUGUGAAAUCUCCACGCUUAACGUGGAGGGGCCAUUCGAAACUGCCGUGACUCGAGUCCGGUAGGGGUGUGUGGAAUUCCCGGUGUAGCGGUGAAAUGCGCAGAUAUCGGGAGGAACACCAGUAGCGAAGGCGGCUUCCUGGCCUGUUCUUGACGCUGAGGCGCGAAAGCUAGGGGAGCAAACGGG
Molecule: ribosomal RNA, 254 nt
Filed under: uncultured bacterium
Lineage: Bacteria
Description: partial 16S ribosomal RNA
Rfam family: Bacterial small subunit ribosomal RNA
Source: RNAcentral